GACGAACGCUGGCGGCGUGCUUAACACAUGCAAGUCGAACGCUGAAGCUCAGCUUUUGUUGGGUGGAUGAGUGGCGAACGGGCGAGUAACACGUGAGUAACCUGCCCCCUUCUUUGGGAUAACGCCCGGAAACGGGUGCUAAUACUGGAUAUUCACUGGUCUUCGCAUGGGGGUUGGUGGAAAGGGUUUUUCUGGUGGGGGAUGGGCUCGCGGCCUAUCAGCUUGUUGGUGGGGUGAUGGCCUACCAAGGCUUUGACGGGUAGCCGGCCUGAGAGGGUGACCGGUCACAUUGGGACUGAGAUACGGCCCAGACUCCUACGGGAGGCAGCAGUGGGGAAUAUUGCACAAUGGGCGCAAGCCUGAUGCAGCGAUGCCGCGUGAGGGAUGGAGGCCUUCGGGUUGUGAACCUCUUUCGCUCAUGGUCAAGCCGCAACAAUGGUUGUGGUGAGGGUAGUGGGUAAAGAAGCGCCGGCUAACUACGUG
This 483-nucleotide ribosomal RNA is filed under the name uncultured bacterium. Its description in RNAcentral is "partial 16S ribosomal RNA". It matches the Rfam family "Bacterial small subunit ribosomal RNA", at positions 28 to 507 of the family's 1533-position model. The record is from RNAcentral.